RNAcentral lists this ribosomal RNA (2174 nucleotides) under Escherichia coli. RNAcentral describes it as "bacterial LSU rRNA". It matches the Rfam family "Bacterial large subunit ribosomal RNA", at positions 1 to 2190 of the family's 2925-position model. The record is from RNAcentral. Lineage: Bacteria; Pseudomonadati; Pseudomonadota; Gammaproteobacteria; Enterobacterales; Enterobacteriaceae.
GGGUUGUGAGGUUAAGCGACUAAGCGUACACGGUGGAUGCCCUGGCAGUCAGAGGCGAUGAAGGACGUGCUAAUCUGCGAUAAGCGUCGGUAAGGUGAUAUGAACCGUUAUAACCGGCGAUUUCCGAAUGGGGAAACCCAGUGUGAUUCGUCACACUAUCAUUAACUGAAUCCAUAGGUUAAUGAGGCGAACCGGGGGAACUGAAACAUCUAAGUACCCCGAGGAAAAGAAAUCAACCGAGAUUCCCCCAGUAGCGGCGAGCGAACGGGGAGGAGCCCAGAGCCUGAAUCAGUGUGUGUGUUAGUGGAAGCGUCUGGAAAGGCGCGCGAUACAGGGUGACAGCCCCGUACACAAAAAUGCACAUGCUGUGAGCUCGAUGAGUAGGGCGGGACACGUGGUAUCCUGUCUGAAUAUGGGGGGACCAUCCUCCAAGGCUAAAUACUCCUGACUGACCGAUAGUGAACCAGUACCGUGAGGGAAAGGCGAAAAGAACCCCGGCGAGGGGAGUGAAAAAGAACCUGAAACCGUGUACGUACAAGCAGUGGGAGCACAGAGCAAUCUGUGUGACUGCGUACCUUUUGUAUAAUGGGUCAGCGACUUAUAUUCUGUAGCAAGGUUAACCGAAUAGGGGAGCCGAAGGGAAACCGAGUCUUAACCGGGCGUUAAGUUGCAGGGUAUAGACCCGAAACCCGGUGAUCUAGCCAUGGGCAGGUUGAAGGUUGGGUAACACUAACUGGAGGACCGAACCGACUAAUGUUGAAAAAUUAGCGGAUGACUUGUGGCUGGGGGUGAAAGGCCAAUCAAACCGGGAGAUAGCUGGUUCUCCCCGAAAGCUAUUUAGGUAGCGCCUCGUGAAUUCAUCUCCGGGGGUAGAGCACUGUUUCGGCAAGGGGGUCAUCCCGACUUACCAACCCGAUGCAAACUGCGAAUACCGGAGAAUGUUAUCACGGGAGACACACGGCGGGUGCUAACGUCCGUCGUGAAGAGGGAAACAACCCAGACCGCCAGCUAAGGUCCCAAAGUCAUGGUUAAGUGGGAAACGAUGUGGGAAGGCCCAGACAGCCAGGAUGUUGGCUUAGAAGCAGCCAUCAUUUAAAGAAAGCGUAAUAGCUCACUGGUCGAGUCGGCCUGCGCGGAAGAUGUAACGGGGCUAAACCAUGCACCGAAGCUGCGGCAGCGACACUGUGUGUUGUUGGGUAGGGGAGCGUUCUGUAAGCCUGUGAAGGUGUACUGUGAGGUAUGCUGGAGGUAUCAGAAGUGCGAAUGCUGACAUAAGUAACGAUAAAGCGGGUGAAAAGCCCGCUCGCCGGAAGACCAAGGGUUCCUGUCCAACGUUAAUCGGGGCAGGGUGAGUCGACCCCUAAGGCGAGGCCGAAAGGCGUAGUCGAUGGGAAACAGGUUAAUAUUCCUGUACUUGGUGUUACUGCGAAGGGGGGACGGAGAAGGCUAUGUUGGCCGGGCGACGGUUGUCCCGGUUUAAGCGUGUAGGCUGGUUUUCCAGGCAAAUCCGGAAAAUCAAGGCUGAGGCGUGAUGACGAGGCACUACGGUGCUGAAGCAACAAAUGCCCUGCUUCCAGGAAAAGCCUCUAAGCAUCAGGUAACAUCAAAUCGUACCCCAAACCGACACAGGUGGUCAGGUAGAGAAUACCAAGGCGCUUGAGAGAACUCGGGUGAAGGAACUAGGCAAAAUGGUGCCGUAACUUCGGGAGAAGGCACGCUGAUAUGUAGGUGAAGUCCCUCGCGGAUGGAGCUGAAAUCAGUCGAAGAUACCAGCUGGCUGCAACUGUUUAUUAAAAACACAGCACUGUGCAAACACGAAAGUGGACGUAUACGGUGUGACGCCUGCCCGGUGCCGGAAGGUUAAUUGAUGGGGUCAGCGCAAGCGAAGCUCUUGAUCGAAGCCCCGGUAAACGGCGGCCGUAACUAUAACGGUCCUAAGGUAGCGAAAUUCCUUGUCGGGUAAGUUCCGACCUGCACGAAUGGCGUAAUGAUGGCCAGGCUGUCUCCACCCGAGACUCAGUGAAAUUGAACUCGCUGUGAAGAUGCAGUGUACCCGCGGCAAGACGGAAAGACCCCGUGAACCUUUACUAUAGCUUGACACUGAACAUUGAGCCUUGAUGUGUAGGAUAGGUGGGAGGCUUUGAAGUGUGGACGCCAGUCUGCAUGGAGCCGAC